CUUUACACAUGACAGGUCGAGCGGUAAGGCCCUUCGGGGUACACGAGCGGCGAACGGGUGAGUAACACGUGAGCAACCUGCCCCUGACUCUGGGAUAAGCGGUGGAAACGCCGUCUAAUACCGGAUACGACCCGCCACCUCAUGGUGGAGGGUGGAAAGUUUUUCGGUCAGGGAUGGGCUCGCGGCCUAUCAGCUUGUUGGUGGGGUAACGGCCUACCAAGGCGAUUACGGGUAGCCGGCCUGAGAGGGCGACCGGCCACACUGGGACUGAGACACGGCCCAGACUCCUGCGGGAGGCAGCAGUGGGGAAUAUUGCGCAAUGGGCGAAAGCCUGACGCAGCGACGCCGCGUGGGGGAUGACGGCCUUCGGGUUGUAAACCUCUUUUACCACCAACGCAGGCUCGAAGUUCUCUUCGGGUUGACGGUAGGUGGGGAAUAAGGACCGGCUAACUACGUGCCAGCAGCCGCGGUAAUACGUAGGGUCCGAGCGUUGUCCGGAAUUAUUGGGCGUAAAGAGCUCGUAGGCGGCGUGUCACGUCUGCUGUGAAAGACCGGGGCUUAACUCCGGUUCUGCAGUGGAUACGGGCAUGCUAGAGGUAGGUAGGGGAGACUGGAAUUCCUGGUGUAGCGGUGAAAUGCGCAGAUAUCAGGAGGAACACCGGUGGCGAAGGCGGGUCUCUGGGCCUUACCUGACGCUGAGGAGCGAAAGCAUGGGGAGCGAACAGGAUUAGAUACCCUGGUAGUCCAUGCCGUAAACGUUGGGCGCUAGGUGUGGGGACUUUCCACGGUUUCCGCGCCGUAGCUAACGCAUUAAGCGCCCCGCCUGGGGAGUACGGCCGCAAGGCUAAAACUCAAAGGAAUUGACGGGGGCCCGCACAAGCGGCGGAGCAUUGUUUGCUUAAUUCGACGCAACGCGAAGAACCUUACCAAGGUUUUGACAUCACCCGUGACUCGCAGAGAUGUGGAGGUCAUUUUAGUUGGCGGGUUGACAGGUGGUGCAUGGCUGUCGUCAGCUCGUUGUUCGUGAGAUUGUUGGGGUUAAGUCCCGCCAACGGAGGCGCCACCCUUUGUUUCCAUUGUUGCCCAGCACGUAUAUGGUGGGGACUCAUUGGGAGACUGCCGGGGCUCAACUUCGGAGAGGUGGGAUGACGUCAAGUCAUCAUGCCUUAUGUCUUGGGCUGCCAAACAUGCCUACAAUGGGCCGGUAC
Molecule: ribosomal RNA, 1208 nt
Filed under: Nocardiopsis sp. Loyola IR
Lineage: Bacteria; Bacillati; Actinomycetota; Actinomycetes; Streptosporangiales; Nocardiopsidaceae
Description: bacterial SSU rRNA
Rfam family: Bacterial small subunit ribosomal RNA
Source: RNAcentral